RNAcentral lists this ribosomal RNA (836 nucleotides) under Staphylococcus sp. Its description in RNAcentral is "bacterial SSU rRNA". It matches the Rfam family "Bacterial small subunit ribosomal RNA", at positions 80 to 902 of the family's 1533-position model. Lineage: Bacteria; Bacillati; Bacillota; Bacilli; Caryophanales; Staphylococcaceae. The record is from RNAcentral.
GCUCCUUUGAAGUUAGCGGCGGACGGGUGAGUAACACGUGGGUAACCUACCUAUAAGACUGGGAUAACUUCGGGAAACCGGAGCUAAUACCGGAUAACAUUUAGAACCGCAUGGUUCUAAAGUGAAAGAUGGUUUUGCUAUCACUUAUAGAUGGACCCGCGCCGUAUUAGCUAGUUGGUAAGGUAACGGCUUACCAAGGCGACGAUACGUAGCCGACCUGAGAGGGUGAUCGGCCACACUGGAACUGAGACACGGUCCAGACUCCUACGGGAGGCAGCAGUAGGGAAUCUUCCGCAAUGGGCGAAAGCCUGACGGAGCAACGCCGCGUGAGUGAUGAAGGGUUUCGGCUCGUAAAACUCUGUUAUUAGGGAAGAACAAAUGUGUAAGUAACUGUGCACAUCUUGACGGUACCUAAUCAGAAAGCCACGGCUAACUACGUGCCAGCAGCCGCGGUAAUACGUAGGUGGCAAGCGUUAUCCGGAAUUAUUGGGCGUAAAGCGCGCGUAGGCGGUUUCUUAAGUCUGAUGUGAAAGCCCACGGCUCAACCGUGGAGGGUCAUUGGAAACUGGGAAACUUGAGUGCAGAAGAGGAAAGUGGAAUUCCAUGUGUAGCGGUGAAAUGCGCAGAGAUAUGGAGGAACACCAGUGGCGAAGGCGACUUUCUGGUCUGUAACUGACGCUGAUGUGCGAAAGCGUGGGGAUCAAACAGGAUUAGAUACCCUGGUAGUCCACGCCGUAAACGAUGAGUGCUAAGUGUUAGGGGGUUUCCGCCCCUUAGUGCUGCAGCUAACGCAUUAAGCACUCCGCCUGGGGAGUACGACCGCAAGGUUGAAACUC